AACGAACGCUGGCGGCAUGCCUAACACAUGCAAGUCGAACGAACCCUUCGGGGUGAGUGGCGCACGGGUGCGUAACACGUGGGAACCUGCCCUUGGGUUCGGAAUAACAGUUAGAAAUGACUGCUAAUACCGGAUAAUGUCUUCGGACCAAAGAUUUAUCGCCUUUGGAUGGGCCCGCGUAGGAUUAGCUAGUUGGUGAGGUAAAGGCUCACCAAGGCGACGAUCCUUAGCUGGUCUUAGAGGAUGAUCAGCCACACUGGGACUGAGACACGGCCCAGACUCCUACGGGAGGCAGCAGUGGGGAAUAUUGGACAAUGGGCGAAAGCCUGAUCCAGCAAUGCCGCGUGAGUGAUGAAGGCCUUAGGGUUGUAAAGCUCUUUUACCUGGGAUGAUAAUGACAGUACCAGGAGAAUAAGCCCCGGCUAACUCCGUGCCAGCAGCCGCCGUAA
Molecule: ribosomal RNA, 449 nt
Filed under: uncultured bacterium
Lineage: Bacteria
Description: partial 16S ribosomal RNA
Rfam family: Bacterial small subunit ribosomal RNA
Source: RNAcentral